This 481-nucleotide ribosomal RNA is filed under the name uncultured bacterium. Its description in RNAcentral is "partial 16S ribosomal RNA". It matches the Rfam family "Bacterial small subunit ribosomal RNA", at positions 28 to 507 of the family's 1533-position model. The record is from RNAcentral.
GACGAACGUUGGCGGCGUGCUUAAUACAUGCAAGUCAACUGAAGCAGUGGUAGCAAUAUCGCUGUGGAGGUGGCGCACGGGUGAGUAACACGUAGGUAAUCUGCCUUCAGGUCUGGCAUAACUCCGGGAAACCGGGGCUAAUAGCAGAUGAUGCAGCGGCUCGACAUCGAGACAGUUGUUAAAGCUAUGGCGCCUGAAGAUGAGCCUGCGUCUGAUUAGCUAGUUGGCGGGGUAACGGCCCACCAAGGCAACGAUCAGUAGCUGGUCUGAGAGGAUGAUCAGCCACACUGGAACUGAGACACGAUCCAGACUCCUACGGGAGGCAGCAGUAAGGAAUAUUGCUCAAUGGGAGAAAUCCUGAAGUAGCAACGCCGCGUGAGGGACGAAGGGCUUUUGCUUGUAAACCUCUGUAGUGAGAGAAAAAAAUCCCAAUCUUUGGGACAUGAUGGUAUCUCAAAAGUAAGCCCCGGCUAACUACGUG